CGGGAAGGGAUAAACGCUGAAGGCAUCUAAGCGUGAAGCCCCCCUCAAGAUGAGAUAUCCCAUUCGAAAGAAGUAAGACCCCUUGAAGACGACGAGGUAGAUAGGGCAGGGGUGGAAGUGCCGUAAGGCAUGGAGCUGACUGUUACUAAUCGGUCAAGGGCUUGACCUG
Molecule: ribosomal RNA, 169 nt
Filed under: Blautia sp. AM47-4
Lineage: Bacteria; Bacillati; Bacillota; Clostridia; Lachnospirales; Lachnospiraceae
Description: partial 23S ribosomal RNA
Rfam family: Bacterial large subunit ribosomal RNA
Source: RNAcentral